UUAUCAAAAUUUAAUAAAUAUCUGCUAAAUUAGUUUUAAUACAUUUGCCAAAAGUUCAAACCAACACGUGGUGAACAUAUGUAAGUAACAAACUUACCAAGUUCAAAAUAUUGUGAUGUAGAAUAUGUUGACAGCAUUCAUCUCGUUCAAUUUAUUCAACAGCGACGCUAUAUACAGCAAGCCACAUUAUUAUGAUAAUGAAGUUAGUGAUCUUCACUUGGGUGUUCUAAAGACAGCGUUGUACAAUUACUUGUUCUCUCGCCAGCACAAUAGACACUUUCUGCUGCGAAUCGAAAAUACUGACCAGACCAGAUUGCAACCUGGAGCUACGGAGAGGCGGC
Long non-coding RNA from Cotesia glomerata, 341 nucleotides. RefSeq lists it as uncharacterized. The record is from RefSeq and is a predicted model, not a curated record. NCBI's taxonomy places the organism in Eukaryota, Metazoa, Arthropoda, Insecta, Hymenoptera, Braconidae. The transcript has 2 exons.